CAGUCUGCUCCGGGGAUUCGCCCUUCCCGCCAGAGCACCACCAGAGAUUUUCUUAUUCCUUCCUGAUUGGUUAGCGUUCUUGCAGAAGAACUCAGCCACCUGACAUGCAUUUCGGAGAGUCACAGGUUGUAACCGAUUUCCAAAGAACAGAACCUAUGUCACAGAUCAACCCCAGGAUUUGCAUAAUGAGCUCUGAAUGACCAGAGGCAUUCCCAUUAGGUUUAUUUUCCCAUCCUGCUCCAGGUUUUCCAAAUCUUGAGUGUGUAAUAGCCACUACCAACAGAACUGCUCUUUACUGGAUAUGAAAUAUUUUCACGUUAGAACAAUAUUGUUGUUAUUAUUUUCUCAGAAUUUAGCUACGGACACUGUGACUCAAUGCUUGCUGGAAGUAACAAAGCCAAUAAGAGCCAGAGCUGAAAUUCAAACCAAAGCUGUACAUUUUAAAAUUAGUACUUUUUCUAAGACACUAGUUUGCCUUUGAAUCAGUACUUCCAGAUAACAAAGAAACUAAAAUGACUAAAAUUUUGUGAAAUCAGUUCUAUCAGAAAUUUCCAAAUAAAUUGCAACUGUCCCUAAGGAAGACAAACACUCGAGUAUAUGGAUAUAGAUCUGAGGUGUGAUCAACACCUUUUCAAUUCUGUUUGGGUGGCGGGGGAGGCAAGAAAAUUCUAAGGAGAGUUUUAAUAGUGUCUCAAGUAACUCAGGAAGAAGAUAUAUUUGAUUGAUACAUUUCAUUUCAGGUGGAAUUCAGUAGUUCCGUUGAAAAUUUGACCUCACAGAAUACAGUAAGUUACAAAACCAACAUUGGUUUAUGUUGAUUUAUACUGAGAAAGGUUUUCAACAUGUACUUCUCAAAAAAAUGAGUUAGCUGCAAUUAACCUAAUGAAUAAUAUUAGGAUGGGCAAUUUCAUCUCAUUGCUGGCAUCAUUGAAAAGACAGGAUUAGAAAAAGGACCUGAAAAUAUUAGCAAAGAUGCUUUUGGAUUAUUUUUCAAUAGUAUGGUAAAGAAACAUUUAUAAAGAAAGAAAAUAAAGUUGCAGUUAACCAGUGAAUUGGUAACUUUUACGAAAAAACGUAAUUAAAGCCUUUUUAAGAUGGAGCCUGAGCAGCCUUUUCAGGGCAACUGCCUUGCUUGUCCUGUUUUCUGAAUCUUUGAACUAGGCCAAACCGCCAACCUUCCUAGAAGUCAGCAAGAACAAGAAUAUCCUGUUUGAAAAGAUUGAUAAAGGUAAACUUGCGCUUAGUGACCACUUUGUCAGACCAAUCGAUGAAUUACAAACCUAGCCCUGCUUGUCAGCAUCAAUGAACUCUUCCCAAAAACAACUUACUAAUCUUCCUUUUAUUUCCCCAUAAAAACCCCGAGUCUACAUCUGGUAAUUGGGACACUAUUCAGGUUUCUACCCAAAUCUGUGUACAAUUCUUUGAUCCCAAAUAAACGUUUUGCCUCUUGA
Long non-coding RNA from Leopardus geoffroyi (Geoffroy's cat), 1451 nucleotides. RefSeq lists it as uncharacterized. The transcript has 2 exons. The record is from RefSeq and is a predicted model, not a curated record. Lineage: Eukaryota; Metazoa; Chordata; Mammalia; Carnivora; Felidae.